RNAcentral lists this long non-coding RNA (785 nucleotides) under Homo sapiens (human). Its description in RNAcentral is "HSALNT0369961". Lineage: Eukaryota; Metazoa; Chordata; Mammalia; Primates; Hominidae. The record is from RNAcentral.
CUCUUUUUCUCUUGCUACUGCCACAUAAGAAGUGCCUUUCUCCUCCUGCCAUGAUUCUGAGGCCUCCCCAGCCAUGUGGAACUGUAAGUCCAAUUAAACCUCUUUUUCUUCCCAGUCUCGGGUAUCUCUUUGUAAGCAGCAUGAAAACACACUAAUAAAAUAAAUUGGUACAAGUAGAGUGGGGUGUUGCUGAAAAGAUACUCAAAAAUGUGGAAGCGACUUUGGAACUGGGUAAUAGGCAGAGGUUGGAACAGUUUGGAGGGCUCAGAAGAAGACAGAAAAAUGUGGAAAGUUUGGAACUCCCUAGAGACUUGUUGAAUGGCUUUGCCUAAAAUGCUGAUAGCAAUAUGGACAAUAAAGUCUAGGCUCAGGUGGUCUCAGAUGGAGAUGAGGAACUUUUUGGGAACUGGAGUAAAGGUAACUCUUUUUAUGUUUUAGCAUAGAGACUGGCAGCAUUUUGCCCCUGCCCUCCCUAGAGAUCUGUGGAACUUUGAACUUGAGAAAGAUGAUUUAGGGUAUCUGGUGGAAGAAAUUUCUAAGCAGCAAAGCAUUCAAGAAGUGACUUGGGCUCUGUUAAAGGCAUUCAGUUUUAUAAGGGAAGCAGAGCAUAAAAGUUUGGAAAAUUUGCAGCCUGACUAUGCAAUAGAAAGGGAAAACCCAUUUUCUGGGGAGAAAUUCAAGCCAGCUGCAGAAAUUUGCAUAAGUAGCAAGGACCCUUAUGUUAAUCUCCAAGAUCUUUGGGAAGAUGUCUUCAGGCCAUGUCAGAAACCUUCACAGCAGGGCCU